Molecule: ribosomal RNA, 538 nt
Filed under: marine metagenome
Also listed under: 1 other name
Description: bacterial SSU rRNA
Rfam family: Archaeal small subunit ribosomal RNA
Source: RNAcentral
CCCGGAGAGACAGCAGAAUGAAGGUCAAGCUGAAGACUUUACCAGACAAGCUGAGAGGUGGUGCAUGGCCGUCGCCAGCUCGUGCCGUGAGAUGUCCUGUUAAGUCAGGUAACGAGCGAGAUCCCUGCCUCUAGUUGCCACUAUUACACCCUGGUGUAGUAGGGCGAAUUAGGGGGACCGCCGCAGUUAAUGCGGAGGAAGGAAGGGGCCACGGCAGGUCAGUAUGCCCCGAAACUCUGGGGCCACACGCGGGCUGCAAUGGUAGCGACAAUGAGUUCCAAAAUCGAAAGAUAGAGGUAAUCCCUAAACGCUACCACAGUUGUGAUUGAGGGCUGCAACUCGCCCUCAUGAACAUGGAAUCCCUAGUAACCGCGUGUCAUUAUCGCGCAGUGAAUACGUCCCUGCUCCUUGCACACACCGCCCGUCGUUUCAUUGAAGUUUGCCUUUAGCGAGGUGAUGUCUAAUUGGCAUUAUCGAACUUGGGGUAAGUGACAAGGGAAAAGUCGUAACAAGGUGACCGUAGGGGAACCUGCGGUCG